This 405-nucleotide ribosomal RNA is filed under the name uncultured bacterium. RNAcentral's name for it is "partial 16S ribosomal RNA". It matches the Rfam family "Bacterial small subunit ribosomal RNA", at positions 30 to 526 of the family's 1533-position model. The record is from RNAcentral.
ACUGAACGCUGGCGGCAGGCCUAACACAUGCAAGUCGAGCGAAGCGGGGACGGGUCAGUAACACGUUGAUAACCUCCUAUAAGCCUGGGAUAACUUCGGGAAUACGGAGCUAAACAGGACACUUAUAGUUGGAUCCGCGCUUCAUUGGAUAGUGGGUAAGGUAUCGGCGUACCAAGGCAACGAUGCAUAGCCGACCUGAGCGGGUGGUCGGCCACACUGGAACUGAGGCACGGUCCAGACUCCUACGAGAGGGAGCAGUAGAGAAUCGUCCGCAAUGGGCGAAAGCCGGACAGAGCAACGCCUCGUGAGUGAUGAAGGGCUUAGGGUCGUAAAACUCUGUUAUUAGGGAAGCGGUACGUAAUCAGAAAGCCACGGCUAACUACGUGCCAGCAGCCGCGGUAAUAC